UGGGGAAUAUUGGACAAUGGGCGAAAGCCUGAUCCAGCCAUGCCGCGUGUGUGAAGAAGGCCUUUUGGUUGUAAAGCACUUUAAGCGAGGAGGAGGCUACUUGGAUUGAUACUCUAGGAUAGUGGACGUUACUCGCAGAAUAAGCACCGGCUAACUCUGUGCCAGCAGCCGCGGUAAUACAGAGGGUGCGAGCGUUAAUCGGAUUUACUGGGCGUAAAGCGUGCGUAGGCGGCUUCUUAAGUCGGAUGUGAAAUCCCUGAGCUUAACUUAGGAAUUGCAUUCGAUACGGGGAAGCUAGAGUAUGGGAGAGGAUGGUAGAAUUCCAGGUGUAGCGGUGAAAUGCGUAGAGAUCUGGAGGAAUACCGAUGGCGAAGGCAGCCAUCUGGCCUAAUACUGACGCUGAGGUACGAAAGCAUGGGGAGCAAACAGG
Molecule: ribosomal RNA, 430 nt
Filed under: Acidobacteriota bacterium
Lineage: Bacteria; Pseudomonadati; Acidobacteriota
Description: Acidobacteria bacterium partial 16S ribosomal RNA
Rfam family: Bacterial small subunit ribosomal RNA
Source: RNAcentral